CCUACGGGUGGCAGCAGUCGAGAAUCAUUCACAAUGGGGGAAACCCUGAUGGUGCGACGCCGCGUGGGGGAAUGAAGGUCUUCGGAUUGUAAACCCCUGUCAUGUGGGAGCAAAUUAAAAAGAUAGUACCACAAGAGGAAGAGACGGCUAACUCUGUGCCAGCAGCCGCGGUAAUACAGAGGUCUCAAGCGUUGUUCGGAAUCACUGGGCGUAAAGCGUGCGUAGGCUGUUUCGUAAGUCGUGUGUGAAAGUCGCGGGCUCAACCCGCGGACGGCACAUGAUACUGCGAGACUAGAGUAAGGGAGGGGGAACCGGAAUUCUCGGUGUAGCAGUGAAAUGCGUAGAUAUCGAGAGGAACACUCGUGGCGAAGGCGGGUUCCUGGACAUUAACUGACGCUGAGGCACGAAGGCCAGGGGAGCGAAAGGGAUUAGAUACCCCUGUAGUC
This 446-nucleotide ribosomal RNA is filed under the name uncultured bacterium. RNAcentral's name for it is "partial 16S ribosomal RNA". It matches the Rfam family "Bacterial small subunit ribosomal RNA", at positions 338 to 795 of the family's 1533-position model. The record is from RNAcentral.